GACGAACGCUGGCGGCGUGCUUAACACAUGCAAGUCGAACGGAAAGGCCCUGCUUUUGUGGGUUGCUCGAGUGGCGAACGGGUGAGUAACACGUGAGUAACCUGCCCUUGCCUUUGGGUUAACUUCAGGAAACUGGGGCUAAUACCGGAUAGGAGCUCCUGCUGCAUGGUGGGGGUUGGAAAGUUUCGGCGGUUGGGGAUGGACUCGCGGCUUAUCAGCUUGUUGGUGGGGUAGUGGCUUACCAAGGCUUUGACGGGUAGCCGGCCUGAGAGGGUGACCGGCCACAUUGGGACUGAGAUACGGCCCAGACUCCUACGGGAGGCAGCAGUGGGGAAUAUUGCACAAUGGCGGAAGCCUGAUGCAGCAACGCCGCGUGCGGGAUGACGGCCUUCGGGUUGUAAACCGCUUUCGCCUGUGACGAAGCGUGAGUGACGGUAAUGGGUAAAGAAGCACCGGCUAACUACGUG
This 467-nucleotide ribosomal RNA is filed under the name uncultured bacterium. RNAcentral's name for it is "partial 16S ribosomal RNA". It matches the Rfam family "Bacterial small subunit ribosomal RNA", at positions 28 to 507 of the family's 1533-position model. The record is from RNAcentral.